RNAcentral lists this unclassified non-coding RNA (392 nucleotides) under soil metagenome. Its description in RNAcentral is "partial contains 5.8S ribosomal RNA, internal transcribed spacer 2, and large subunit ribosomal RNA". The stretch from base 1 to 122 matches the Rfam family "5.8S ribosomal RNA", at positions 35 to 154 of the family's 154-position model. The record is from RNAcentral.
GAUGAAGAACGCAGCGAAAUGCGAUACUUGGUGUGAAUUGCAGAAUCCCGUGAACCAUCGAGUCUUUGAACGCAAGUUGCGCCCGAAGCCAUUAGGCCGAGGGCACGCCUGCCUGGGCGUCACAUGUCGUUGCCCCCCCCAUCUACUCCUUCGGGAUUGCGGGGGGCGGAUGAUGGCCUCCCGUGCGCCUCGCCGCGCGGUUGGCAUAAAUGCCAAGUCCUCGGCGACGCACGCCACGACAAUCGGUGGUUGCGAAACCUCGGUUGCCCGUCGUGUGCGGUCGUCGCGCAUCGAGGGCUCGAAAAAAUUGCCGAGUUCCGGCUCGGCUUUCAACGCGACCCCAGGUCAGGCGGGUUUACCCGCUGAAUUUAAGCAUAUCAAUAAGCGGAGGA